Molecule: ribosomal RNA, 254 nt
Filed under: uncultured bacterium
Lineage: Bacteria
Description: partial 16S ribosomal RNA
Rfam family: Bacterial small subunit ribosomal RNA
Source: RNAcentral
UACGGGGGGGGCGAGCGUUGUUCGGAAUCACUGGGCGUAAAGGGCGCGUAGGCGGCCCGCACAAGUCUGCGGUGAAAACCUCCGGCUUAACCGGGGGCCGGCCGUGGAAACUGUCGGGCUGGAGGCUGGGAGAGGGCAGCGGAAUUCCCGGUGUAGCGGUGAAAUGCGUAGAGAUCGGGAGGAACACCGGCGGCGAAGGCGGCUGCCUGGACCAGUCCUGACGCUGAGGCGCGAAAGCUAGGGGAGUAAACAGG